Apus apus (common swift) is the source of this 278-nucleotide long non-coding RNA. RefSeq lists it as uncharacterized. The record is from RefSeq and is a predicted model, not a curated record. The transcript is spliced from 3 exons. NCBI's taxonomy places the organism in Eukaryota, Metazoa, Chordata, Aves, Apodiformes, Apodidae.
AGAAAAAUGAAGCCCCUUUAGAAAUGUGAAGCUGCCGAGAUAAUGACUGCGACCUGCUCUAAGACUGGAUGGGAACAGGAAGGUGCUGGAAGACCACAACUUUGGAGCUAUCCUUCGGGAGGGGACUUCACAUUUAUGCUACUGCACGGCUUUCAUUUCCAGAAAUUGGAGAAAAUCCAGUAGAAUUCAUACCCAAACAGCUUAAACUGAUUUCAGUGCUGGAGCUGCUACUGCUCACCCUGGCAGGGAGAGAUAGGCUGGGACAUGAGAAAAUCACU